This 223-nucleotide long non-coding RNA is filed under the name Homo sapiens (human). RNAcentral's name for it is "HSALNT0106147". Lineage: Eukaryota; Metazoa; Chordata; Mammalia; Primates; Hominidae. The record is from RNAcentral.
CUUAUGGCUGAAGGUGUUGAAAUGACUAAUUGGAUGGAGACAAUUAUCUUCCUGCGUCAGCCUCCUUUGAUGUCUUUGCUAAAAUCCCAGCUACAGAGAGAUCUAAUUGCAAAUGAACUAAUUAAGUAAACCUCUGACGAAGCGUGAAAACAAUUUGUUUGACCCUGAUGCUGCAAGGGUCUGGGAGACAGCGGAGUUAAUCAGUCAGUGACAGAGCCUGGCA